This 564-nucleotide unclassified non-coding RNA is filed under the name Hevea brasiliensis (rubber tree). Lineage: Eukaryota; Viridiplantae; Streptophyta; Magnoliopsida; Malpighiales; Euphorbiaceae. The record is from RNAcentral.
GCGCCUUCUGAUCUGCGGUGGAUCUGUAUUAUGUCGUGGUACAUUGGUCGGAAUCGAGACUGAAAUGCCCUGUAGGAAAAGUAUGGUAGCAGGGUGGCAAUGACAACAAGAAGAGUGACAAGCCAGUAGAGAGGGCUUGGAGAACAGGCUUCCACAAGAACUCUAUGUGCUGUUGUAGAUACAAUAGGUGAAAUGGAACCAUAUAUCACCAAAAAUAUGUACCAGAAGGCUGUGCUUCCCCAGAUGAAGAAGUGCUGGAUCCAAGUGAAGUAGUUGAUGGACAAUGCCAUUUGGCAAUUUACAGUCCACACUACGCAUGUAUACAUUGUGGCCCCGAGGAUCCCGUAGUCAACCACUUGACCAUCUCGCCGGAAAGCCUGAUUAAUCAUGGAGUUGGUGGUGAAGAAGAAGAUAAUUAUGGAACUAAGGACUGCAUUACACAUCCAACCAAGAAUACGAGGCCAGCUGAAGAGGAUGUUUUGUACUCCCUCUUGAUAUAAUAAUGGAUACUUAAGGCAAAGUCUCGCAGAGACAUCCUGAUCGAAAACACCGAGAGCAAUUACA